This 400-nucleotide ribosomal RNA is filed under the name uncultured bacterium. RNAcentral describes it as "bacterial SSU rRNA". It matches the Rfam family "Bacterial small subunit ribosomal RNA", at positions 357 to 773 of the family's 1533-position model. The record is from RNAcentral.
GGGAAUAUUGCACAAUGGGGGAAACCCUGAUGCAGCGACGCCGCGUGAGUGAAGAAGUAUUUCGGUAUGUAAAGCUCUAUCAGCAGGGAAGAAAAUGACGGUACAUGUCUAAGAAGCCCCGGCUAACUACGUGCCAGCAGCCGCGGUAAUACGUAUGGGGCAAGCGUUAUCCGGAUUUACUGGGUGUAAAGGGAGCGUAGGUGGCAUGGUAAGCCAGAAGUGAAAACCCAGGGCUCAACUCUGUGGAUUGCUUUUGGAACUAUCAAGCUAGAGUGCUGGAGGGGUAAGCGGAAUUCCUAGUGUAGCGGUGAAAUGCGUAGAUAUUAGGAGGAACACCGGUGGCGAAGGCGGCUUACUGGACAGAAACUGACACUGAGGCUCGAAAGCGUGGGGAGCAAAC